ACACAUGCAAGUCGAGGCGCAGCAGGAUCUAGCAAUAGAUUGCUGGCGACCGGCGCACGGGUGAGUAACACGUAUCCAACCUGCCGAUAACUCGGGGGAUAGCCUUUCGAAAGAAAGAUUAAUACCCGAUGGUAUAAUCAGACCGCAUGGUCUUGUUAUUAAAGAAUUUCGGUUAUCGAUGGGGAUGCGUUCCAUUAGGCAGUUGGUGAGGUAACGGCUCACCAAACCUUCGAUGGAUAGGGGUUCUGAGAGGAAGGUCCCCCACAUUGGAACUGAGACACGGUCCAAACUCCUACGGGAGGCAGCAGUGAGGAAUAUUGGUCAAUGGGCGCAGGCCUGAACCAGCCAAGUAGCGUGAAGGAUGACUGCCCUAUGGGUUGUAGACUGCUUUUAUAGGGGGAUAAAGUGUGCCACGUGUGGCAUAUUGCAGGUACCCUAUGAAUAAGGACCGGCUAAUUCCGUGCCAGCAGCCGCGGUAAUACGGAAGGUCCGGGCGUUAUCCGGAUUUAUUGGGUUUAAAGGGAGCGUAGGCCGUCUUAUAAGCGUGUUGUGAAAUGUCGGGGCUCAACCUGGGCAUUGCAGCGCGAACUGUCAGACUUGAGUGCGCAGGAAGUAGGCGGAAUUCGUCGUGUAGCGGUGAAAUGCUUAGAUAUGACGAAGAACUCCGAUUGCGAAGGCAGCCUGCUGUAGCGCAACUGACGCUGAAGCUAGAAAGCGUGGGUAUCGAACAGG
RNAcentral lists this ribosomal RNA (732 nucleotides) under uncultured bacterium. RNAcentral's name for it is "bacterial SSU rRNA". It matches the Rfam family "Bacterial small subunit ribosomal RNA", at positions 51 to 776 of the family's 1533-position model. The record is from RNAcentral.